GAUGAACGCUGGCGGCGUGCCUAAUACAUGCAAGUCGAGCGAACCACUUCGGUGGUGAGCGGCGAACGGGUGAGUAACACGUAGGUGAUCUGCCCAUCAGACGGGGACAACGAUUGGAAACGAUCGCUAAUACCGGAUAGGACGAAAGUUUAAAGGUGCUUCUGGCACCGCUGAUGGAUGAGCCUGCGGCGCAUUAGCUAGUUGGUAGGUAAAGGCCUACCAAGGCGACGAUGCGUAGCCGACCUGAGAGGGUGAACGGCCACACUGGGACUGAGACACGGGCCCAGACUCCUACGGGAGGCAGCAGUAGGGAAUCUUCGGCAAUGGGCGAAAGCCUGACCGAGCAACGCCGCGUGAAUGAUGAA
RNAcentral lists this ribosomal RNA (365 nucleotides) under uncultured bacterium. RNAcentral describes it as "bacterial SSU rRNA". It matches the Rfam family "Bacterial small subunit ribosomal RNA", at positions 28 to 412 of the family's 1533-position model. The record is from RNAcentral.